AUCGUAACAUAUAGCACUAGC
This 21-nucleotide microRNA is filed under the name Nicotiana tabacum (common tobacco). RNAcentral describes it as "nta-miR6145f". Lineage: Eukaryota; Viridiplantae; Streptophyta; Magnoliopsida; Solanales; Solanaceae. The record is from miRBase by way of RNAcentral.